Molecule: long non-coding RNA, 319 nt
Organism: Aedes albopictus (Asian tiger mosquito)
Lineage: Eukaryota; Metazoa; Arthropoda; Insecta; Diptera; Culicidae
Exons: 3
Source: RefSeq, a predicted model, not a curated record
CGUGCAGUGUGCGGUGUUUCAAGAGAUUGCGUGAGAAUUUUCUGACCGUUUUCCAGACAGAAUUGCAUUUAUUGCGCGCCGUGAAACCUGCAGAUAACCCCCCCCACAAAAAUGUUCCGCAUGGAGUUGCCCCCGAACGAUGCCGCCGAGGAGAAGCGCAAGGUCCGGAAAGCGGUCCAGUCCAAUCUGUUCGCCUUUGUUGCACUGUGCGUCGCCAUCCGGAUCGCUCCUCUGCUGUUGAACCGACCCAGCACGGUGUAGGAAACCAGAUAGCGUUAAUUGGGAGGACAUUCGUGGAAUAAACGGCUUUAAAAUUUAA